UACAAGAUUACCUGGCUUCUAAAUCUCCCCAGCUGAGUCUUAGAGGCUUCUUUGAAGAGCUGAUUUCAGGCAGCAGAAUUGGCCCCCAGGAGGGACUCUGUGCCUGCUCUCCCGUGGCUCCAAGGGAUCUCUGGCCCUUCACGCCGGCACCGAGAUUUUCUCGGGAAGGGCCUCAGAUCCCCGGACCAGUCUGGGACACAGGCAAGAUCCCCCUGCAGUUUAGGACCAAAUUGGCCCCCUGGAGGGACAGUGCUGUUGGUGCCCCCGGGUUGGGGCACCCCGAGGACUCCAGCGCGCACCGAAAGGAUUAUUCGGGGAGAUCCUCGGGGUGCCCGGCCCUGGGGAGCUCAAAGCAAGGUCCCUGCAAUGGAUUCAGGCAUUGCUGAGAGUAUCCCAGGGGUCCCUGUCCCUGCUAGACAUGGAGCUCUCUAAUGGGCUGGAAUUGGGUGAUAAAAGUGGUGCUCCAAGUGCCAAAGCAGUGUGGGAUUGGGAUUAAGAAAUGAGCAGUGAGGGUCCAAUUGGCUGUUUUCUCUGGAAUGUGACUGUGAGAGCUGCAGGAGUGCCAGGUGUGUGUUCCAGUCCCCAGCAUUUGGUUUGCACAUGUCCUGGUCAGACACAGGUCCAAUUUCCUCAGUCCUUAACACAGCAGAGGGAGAAUGAAGGACUGGCAGUGUUCAGGUGGUUGGUGUGACAGGGGUUAAACUGGGAAAACAUUGGGUAAUUCCUCAGUUUGUCUCUUUGCCAAACUCACCCAAACCUGUGCUAGGAAGAGAUUGAAUCAAAAACUUGAGGUAGAAAUGGAAUUGAAAACUGGGGCUGUUGAAACUGUAAUUGCUGAAACUAAAUGUGUCCAAGCAGCAGCUCUUGUUGUGCAGGGAAUAACUCCUGUCAGCAGCAAGGUCCUGACUGAAGUGGCAGCUGCAGUUGUUCCUGUGGUGUGGGCCAGUGGAACUGCAGGAGAGUGGAAGAGGGCAGAACCUGUAGGAAUUACCCCUACUGUGGGAUCUCUCCUGUUAAGGCCAAGCCAGUAUCCUUUAAAAUCAGAAUGCCAGACUGGAUUGGUUGCAGGAACAGCUGAAUUUGCUCCUCCUGGUUUGCUUGUAGAAGGUGAAUGCCAGAACCUGCCAAGAAACCAAUGGCCAAGGGGAUUGAUUAGUGCAGGACCUGAGAGAACCCCCUGAAAUGACAACCUGGAGUAGUUUGCAGUAUUAGAUUGCAAAGAUGGCCUUUGCUGCAUCUCCUUGAGCAAGGAAAGCCAAGAAACCUUUGCUUUUGCAGGAGAAAAUGUGGACAGCGGGCAGGAAGAAGAGAAGCCCCGUGACUCCUCCCUGAGCCCCAGCCAGCCCCUGAACUGCCUUCCUGGGAAUGGUGGGACGGGCUGGACUCUGGAUUGCUCCCUCUGGAUGUGUGGCUCUCCCCUCAGGAACUGCAGGAACUCCUGGUGCCGCCUGGGCCGAUGGAUUGGACACCCCAGCCCCUCCGUUCCUGCCCAGCCACUGGGGCCGUGUCGAGUGGUGGCACUGCCAGCCCUGCAGGGGAAGUGGGAAGGGCCUUUGCUGGUCCUGUGGAUCACAUUUAUAGCAGUGGGAUGUAGCCUGGAAACUGCAGAGAGCUGAGCCCAGGGAUUGAAAGGGACCAAGCAAGGGAGGUGAAGAAAGAAGGAAGAAGGGAAGUGAGGCAUCAGCCAAGCAGCACCAAGUUCCUGUGUAAGCAGGGAAUAACUCCUGUCAGCAGCAAGGUCCUGACUGAAGUGGCAGCUGCAGUUGUUCCUGUGGUGUGGGCCAGUGGAACUGCAGGAGAGUGGAAGAGGGCAGAACCUGUAGGUAUUACCCCUAAGCCAGAGUCUGUACUGGUAAGGCAAACACAGUAUCCUUUAAAAUUGGGAAGCCAAAUUGGAUUGGUUCCAGUAAUAGCUAAAUUUGCUAAACAUGGUUUGAUUUUAGAAGGUGAAUGCAAGGACCUGUAGAGAAAGCAAAUGACAAAGAUGAUUGAUUCCUGGAGCAGGGUCUGACAGACAGUGGUACUGGAUGUUUGGUUGUGUUUGGGAAUGAGCAGCUUGACCUGCCCAGGGUUGUCUGUGCUGGGGGUGGGUUUGGGUCCUGUGUGGCCACAGGUCUGUGCAGCAGCUGGAGCCUGGGCAGGUUUGGGGGCUGUGGUGUGCCAGGCUGCUGAGUGUGUUGUCCCUGUUUCCUUUCAGUGUCCCAGUGUCCCUGCUUGGCUGUUUGCUGCC
This is a long non-coding RNA of Pseudopipra pipra, 2230 nucleotides long. RefSeq lists it as uncharacterized. Lineage: Eukaryota; Metazoa; Chordata; Aves; Passeriformes; Pipridae. The record is from RefSeq and is a predicted model, not a curated record. The transcript has 4 exons.